AAUAUUGGACAAUGGGCGAAAGCCUGAUCCAGCCAUGCCGCGCGUGUGAAGAAGGUCCNCGGAUUNUNAAGCACUUUAAGUUGGGNGGAAGGGGUUGAAGCCAAUACCUUCAAUCUUCGACGUUACCAACAGAAUAAGCACCGGCUAACCCUGUGCCAGCAGCCGCGGUAAUACAGAGGGUGCAAGCGUUAAUCGGAAUUACUGGGCGUAAAGCGCGCGUAGGUGGUUCAGUAAGAUGGAAGUGAAAUCCCCGGGCUUAACCUGGGAACUGCUUUCAUAACUGCUGAGCUAGAGUACGGUAGAGGGUAGUGGAAUUUCCUGUGUAGCGGUGAAAUGCGUAGAUAUAGGAAGGAACACCAGUGGCGAAGGCGACUACCUGGACUGAUACUGACACUGAGGUGCGAAAGCGUGGGGAGCAAACAGG
Molecule: ribosomal RNA, 424 nt
Filed under: uncultured bacterium
Lineage: Bacteria
Description: partial 16S ribosomal RNA
Rfam family: Bacterial small subunit ribosomal RNA
Source: RNAcentral